Long non-coding RNA from Equus caballus (horse), 2275 nucleotides. RefSeq lists it as uncharacterized. The record is from RefSeq and is a predicted model, not a curated record. NCBI's taxonomy places the organism in Eukaryota, Metazoa, Chordata, Mammalia, Perissodactyla, Equidae.
UCGGCCCCACAAACGCACUUUCUAUUCUUUUCUCCUGGACUUUAUUUGUGGUGAGACCUUGGCCUCACUAGCUCCUCAUCUUUCCCAUCAGGCACAGAAAGCAGCAAAGCUACCACAGCGCUGUCACCAUGUCCUUGUGUGAUUUCUUAGCUGUGAUUCAGAACGGUGAUUUAAAAGUAAAAUAACUGGCUGGAAAAGGGGAAUGAAUCCGUGGAGCCAGAAAGACAUGUCUAUCUGAAGCUCACACUCCACCUGUACUCCAGGAAAUCUGUCCAAAUGAGCUCCCUAGCCUAUGAAUAAGUUCUGUAUGAUCAUCUCUCCUACGUCAGAUUUCCUGAGGUUGAUUUGAGCUGUCAGUUGUUUGGAGGAAGGUUGUGAUCCUUGUCUGCAGGCCAAAGCUGCCUCAUCAGCACCACUUUUGAUACCUAGUCUGUGGAUAAGCUAAUGAGAAUAAGCAGAAGAUAUAUAAUUUCUUUCUGUGGAAAAGGCACACCAGUUGCAUGCAUCUCUUGUGCUCAUGUGCCAUUGAAAGAUCCAAUGUCUUCUUCACAAGUCUUAAAAGGAUUCAUAGAGGUAUCAAUCAGGACAGAUUGAGUUAUGCUAUGAAAACAAACAACCAGAAAACUCUCAGUGAUUUGAAAUAGGAAAACAUUUCUUGCCCAUGCUACAUACCUCGUGUGGUUGGCAAGGUUGAUGGAGGCAGCAGCAUCUUGACAAAAGCUUCCGUGAUCACAGAAUGACGUGCAAGAGAAUAUAGCAGGACGUGUUCUGGUAUGUACUACUUCUGCCUGGAAGUGACACAUAGCAUGUCCAUUCAUGUUUUAUUGGCCAAAGGAAGCCACAAGGCAACAUCUUACUUCAAGUGGCAGCAAGUCCUAACCUACCAUGUGUCUGGAAUAAGAUUACUCAGCAUCUGUGAAUAGCCCCAAUGACAACUACAGCCUGCCCUUUGAGUUAUAAAUAUCCAGAUCCCUAUCUUUUCCACAUGCAAUAUAAGCUAACCUCCCCAAAGAGGAAGAAAACCCACACGCCCCACCCAAUUUUUAAUUAGCCUCAAAGUCUCGUACUUUGAAAUCAUUUGUAUCAAGUCCAAGAUGGCUUGAAAAUCAGAAAAAAGAAAAGAUAUAUGCCCCUGAUAAACACUAUAUAAGUAGUGAGUCAGAAAAAGAUAACGGUGAUAAAACACUCCCGUUCUACUGCUACAGACAGUUAGCUAUCCUGAAAUCUCACUGAGCAGGCAUUGUGAAGAGCCCUUACCCUGGGCAGCGGGUGGGAGGGAAAUUCUUCGCUAAGCUUUAGUCUACUUCCCGUUGGUAGCUUCUUCAAUUCUCUGGACUCUAUCCCAUGACUCCAUGGCUACAUCCUUGGGGCUGGGCAGCUUCCUCAGUUGGGUUCCUGCUUCUAGAGAAUUGAGGUCCCAAGGUCCAGGUUAAGUAUUUAAUAGGCCUACUCCUUUUUAAUUCAAGCUGUUGAUAUUGAUGUCAUAAUCCAUACACUGUCUUUAACUCUUUUAGAAAGUUAUUCUUAUCUGUUCAAGUCUAGUCAACUCUAUGUGCUAUUACCAAACUCAUAAGUGUUUUAGAUACGUAUCUUUCUCUCUAGACUUAAUUAUGGGUAUCUUGAAACUCUCAGUUGUCCAUGGCAUGGUUAAAAUCUUAAUUUCUUCUCCAUACUGAGCAUCACCAUACUAAACUUAGAGAAUAUAACAAUAUGAAGGCCAUACCAUUUAUUUGAUCCAUUCUAGAGAGCCCAAGUGUUAAUAAGCUCUGUUGGGAAAUGUUCUUUCUUAAUUGACAAGUAUUAAAUUUCCAAAAUCUCUCCUUCUUUUCAUUCCUGCUAGAAAAUUUGCUACUCUUUUCUGAACACAUUUCUUUUCAAAUGCUGGGAAUAGUAUUGAAUCCAUGCUACAAAUAUUCUAUUGUCCAACCUCUCGACUUAAAGUUUCAGUCUCAUUAGAGACAUUAUCUUCCUUUUCAGUUUCUCAGGUGAGCAUUAUCUCACAUAUUUUACAAACCUAAAACCUAUUAUUAUACUUUGCACACGGUAAAGAUUUGGUACAUGUCUAUUGGUAUACUCAUAAAAAUAAAAGGUAUCCAUUCAUUUAUUUACACAUUUAUUCAAUUAAUUUAUGCACAAAUAUAUCUUAAGUGCUUAUCCAAUAUUAUAUGUGCCUCUGAAAUACAAACCAGAUAUUAUAGUAAACAGCAAGAAAUAAAAUUCUUUGCUAGCUCAUGUAUUAUUAAAAAGAGUAUACAAAAACAUGUUUACUGGAAGC